RNAcentral lists this ribosomal RNA (748 nucleotides) under Bacillus subtilis. RNAcentral's name for it is "bacterial SSU rRNA". It matches the Rfam family "Bacterial small subunit ribosomal RNA", at positions 89 to 822 of the family's 1533-position model. The record is from RNAcentral. Lineage: Bacteria; Bacillati; Bacillota; Bacilli; Caryophanales; Bacillaceae.
AUGUUAGCGGCGGACGGGUGAGUAACACGUGGGUAACCUGCCUGUAAGACUGGGAUAACUCCGGGAAACCGGGGCUAAUACCGGAUGGUUGUUUGAACCGCAUGGUUCAAACAUAAAAGGUGGCUUCGGCUACCACUUACAGAUGGACCCGCGGCGCAUUAGCUAGUUGGUGAGGUAACGGCUCACCAAGGCAACGAUGCGUAGCCGACCUGAGAGGGUGAUCGGCCACACUGGGACUGAGACACGGCCCAGACUCCUACGGGAGGCAGCAGUAGGGAAUCUUCCGCAAUGGACGAAAGUCUGACGGAGCAACGCCGCGUGAGUGAUGAAGGUUUUCGGAUCGUAAAGCUCUGUUGUUAGGGAAGAACAAGUACCGUUCGAAUAGGGCGGUACCUUGACGGUACCUAACCAGAAAGCCACGGCUAACUACGUGCCAGCAGCCGCGGUAAUACGUAGGUGGCAAGCGUUGUCCGGAAUUAUUGGGCGUAAAGGGCUCGCAGGCGGUUUCUUAAGUCUGAUGUGAAAGCCCCCGGCUCAACCGGGGAGGGUCAUUGGAAACUGGGGAACUUGAGUGCAGAAGAGGAGAGUGGAAUUCCACGUGUAGCGGUGAAAUGCGUAGAGAUGUGGAGGAACACCAGUGGCGAAGGCGACUCUCUGGUCUGUAACUGACGCUGAGGAGCGAAAGCGUGGGGAGCGAACAGGAUUAGAUACCCUGGUAGUCCACGCCGUAAACGAUGAGUGCUAAGUG